Molecule: ribosomal RNA, 460 nt
Filed under: uncultured bacterium
Lineage: Bacteria
Description: partial 16S ribosomal RNA
Rfam family: Bacterial small subunit ribosomal RNA
Source: RNAcentral
CCUACGGGCGGCAGCAGUGAGGAAUAUUGGUCAAUGGACGGAAGUCUGAACCAGCCAUGCCGCGUGCAGGAAGACGGCUCUAUGAGUUUUAAACUGCUUUUGUACAAGGGUAAACCUGAAUACGUGUAUUCAGCUGAAAGUACUGUACGAAUAAGGAUCGGCUAACUCCGUGCCAGCAGCCGCGGUAAUACGGAGGAGCCAAGCGUUAUCAGGAUUUAUGGGGUUUAAAGGGUGCGUAGGCGGAUUGGUAAGUUAGAGGUGAAAUGUCCGAGCUUAACUCGGGAACUGCCUCUAAUACUGUUGAUCUAGAGAGUAGAUGAGGUAGGCGGAAUGUAUGGUGUAGCGGUGAAAUGCUUAGAGAUCAUACAGAACACCGAUUGCGAAGGCAGCUUACCAAUCUAUGUCUGACGUUGAGGCACGAAAGCGUGGGGAGCAAACAGGAUUAGAUACCCCUGUAGUC